Molecule: ribosomal RNA, 453 nt
Filed under: uncultured organism
Description: partial 16S ribosomal RNA
Rfam family: Bacterial small subunit ribosomal RNA
Source: RNAcentral
GUACACUCCUGCGGGAGGCAGCAGUGGGGAAUAUUGGACAAUGGGCGCAAGCCUGAUCCAGCCAUGCCGCGUGAGUGAUGAAGGCCCUAGGGUUGUAAAGCUCUUUCACCGGAGAAGAUAAUGACGGUAUCCGGAGAAGAAGCCCCGGCUAACUUCGUGCCAGCAGCCGCGGUAAUACGAAGGGGGCUAGCGUUGUUCGGAAUUACUGGGCGUAAAGCGCACGUAGGCGGAUCGAUCAGUCAGGGGUGAAAUCCCAGGGCUCAACCCUGGAACUGCCUUUGAUACUGUCGAUCUGGAGUAUGGAAGAGGUGAGUGGAAUUCCGAGUGUAGAGGUGAAAUUCGUAGAUAUUCGGAGGAACACCAGUGGCGAAGGCGGCUCACUGGUCCAUUACUGACGCUGAGGUGCGAAAGCGUGGGGAGCAAACAGGAUUAGAAACCCUGGUAGUCCCAUGA